UACAGAGGGGGCAAGCGUUGUUCGGAAUUACUGGGCGUAAAGGGCGCGUAGGCGGCCUUCUAAGUCGAACGUGAAAUCCCUGGGCUCAACCCAGGAACUGCGUCCGAUACUGGAAGGCUUGAAUCCGGGAGAGGGAUGCGGAAUUCCAGGUGUAGCGGUGAAAUGCGUAGAUAUCAGGAGGAACACCGGUGGCGAAGGCGGGUCUCUGGGACGGUACUGACGCUGAGACGCGAAAGCGUGGGGAGCGAACAGG
This 253-nucleotide ribosomal RNA is filed under the name uncultured bacterium. Its description in RNAcentral is "partial 16S ribosomal RNA". It matches the Rfam family "Bacterial small subunit ribosomal RNA", at positions 524 to 776 of the family's 1533-position model. The record is from RNAcentral.